This is a long non-coding RNA of Onychostoma macrolepis, 194 nucleotides long. RefSeq lists it as uncharacterized. The transcript has 2 exons. NCBI's taxonomy places the organism in Eukaryota, Metazoa, Chordata, Actinopteri, Cypriniformes, Cyprinidae. The record is from RefSeq and is a predicted model, not a curated record.
GUGAAAGAUCACCGUAUGCACACCGCUAUAAUGACAAAAAGACUUUGAAUCUUUAACUACUCUGUCAUUUUCCUUAUUGAAAUUAGAUUUUUUUAUGAUGUCUUAAAUUUGCCAUGGAUUUCUUCAGGAAUGUCCUACAGUAUUUUCAAAACACUGCAUACAAAGGACUCAUCACAGGCUCAAUACAGGAGAGG